UACGGAGGGUGCAAGCGUUAUCCGGAUUCACUGGGUUUAAAGGGAGCGUAGGUGGCUUUGUAAGUCAGUGGUGAAAGCCCGCAGCUCAACUGCGGAACUGCCAUUGAUACUGCUUAGCUUGAAUCAGGUCGAGGUGGAUGGAAUAAUACAUGUAGCGGUGAAAUGCUUAGAUAUGUAUUAGAACACCGAUUGCGAAGGCAGUUCACUAGGCCUGUAUUGACACUGAGGCUCGAAAGCGUGGGGAUCAAACAGG
This 253-nucleotide ribosomal RNA is filed under the name uncultured bacterium. Its description in RNAcentral is "partial 16S ribosomal RNA". It matches the Rfam family "Bacterial small subunit ribosomal RNA", at positions 524 to 776 of the family's 1533-position model. The record is from RNAcentral.